This 451-nucleotide ribosomal RNA is filed under the name uncultured bacterium. RNAcentral describes it as "partial 16S ribosomal RNA". It matches the Rfam family "Bacterial small subunit ribosomal RNA", at positions 29 to 523 of the family's 1533-position model. The record is from RNAcentral.
AGCGAACGCUGGCGGCAGGCUUAACACAUGCAAGUCGAGCGGGCAUCUUCGGGUGUCAGCGGCGGACGGGUGAGUAACGCGUGGGAACGUGCCUUCUGGUUCGGAAUAACUCAGGGAAACUUGAGCUAAUACCGGAUACGCCCUUUUGGGGAAAGGUUUACUGCCGGAAGAUCGGCCCGCGUCUGAUUAGCUAGUUGGUGGGGUAACGGCCCACCAAGGCGACGAUCAGUAGCUGGUCUGAGAGGAUGAUCAGCCACACUGGGACUGAGACACGGCCCAGACUCCUACGGGAGGCAGCAUUGGGGAAUAUUGGACAAUGGGGGCAACCCUGAUCCAGCCAUGCCGCGUGAGUGAUGAAGACCUUAGGGUUGUAAAGCUCUUUUAUCCGGGACGAUAAUGACGGUACCGGAGGAAUAAGCCCCGGCUAACUUCGUGCCAGCCGCCGCCGUAA